GUAACUGCCAUCCACUACUAUAUACUUCCCAGUAACCAAAGAAUCUCACAAUUCAUAAGCCGCAGGCUACUUAACUUUUCUCUGAUGCUGGACAAUUAAACCCUGUUUCAGCCAUCAAAAUAGUGUAACAGCCAGGGAUAUCAAAGGACUAUUCAAGGGAAAUCAUUUUGAAUACUUAUCAACAAGCGCCUUAGCGUUCUCUGGUGCAAAGAAUCUCGCUUGUAUAAACAUCCGCUCAGCAUCACCAACAUUUCCGUUCUCUUUCAAAAUGAUACCCUUCGCUAAGUAACCCCUAAAGUCGUCAGGAUAGGUAGAAAUGAGUUGAUUAUAUACAGACACGGCAUCACUGAUAUGGCCCCAUUCUGAGUAUGCUUUUCCCAGAAGCAGGUCAACUUGAAUUGGGUCUACCUCUGACUUUGAUUUCGCUGCACUGUUCUUGGUUCCAUCACUGCUACCACUAGUUUUUUCUUCUUUCAGACUUUUGCGUGAUGCCAAAAGCAUUUGAACAGCCUCAUCUGGCUUCCUCGCGGCAAUUAGUGCAUUUGUAAGGCCACGUUGAACUUCAAAAUCAAUAGUUCCGGAUACCAUGGCAGACAUUCUAAAAGCAGCAGCACUCCCUUCAUAAUCCAUCAGUCCAUAUUUGACUUCUCCAAGCAAACGGUAAACAUCUGGGUCACUUGGUUUUUUCUUAAUCAAUUCUUCAAGAAGGGAAGAGGCUCGAUUGUACUCCCCCAGUUCUGAUAAGGUCACAGCAGCUCCUUCAAGCGAGAUGGGAUCCUCUGGUGAUGAAGCCAGUGUAGCCUCAAAUUGCUGAAGCGUCUUCAGGAGGUUAGCUCUCUCAUCUUCAGCAAUUCUCUUACCCUUGCUGGCAAUCUCCUCAGUGGGACUAACACUUCCAGAGGGAAGAAAGUCACCAAGUGCAAACAAGAGUCCAAAUACAAUAACAGCCGCUCCAACUCCAAUCUUGGUACCCAGUCCGAUUGUAGUACUUCUGGACUCAACCGGAGCAUCAUAGUCAAUUGCUCCAUAUGCUUUCUCUUCCUCUGUUUUUUUCUGCUGAAGCGCCGACCUUUUUACUACAUCCAACCGUUCCUCAAACUGAAGAUCUGACCCCACACUUUUUGACUUUCUGACAUCAUUCGUAGAGUUCAAACGAGGUGCCUGAUUAAGGAGGUCGUCUGACUGUCGGGUAGAUGAAUUCCUUUGCGGCCGCACUGUGCCCUUGGCCUGCCUUCUGGCGGUUGCAGAAUUCUUACCCUGAAUUUAAGUAGCAAGAAGAGUAUCGAAAUUAUCCAUUACAAAAUUAAAAGGGUGAAGCAAUACCUUGUUAGUGUUGCCAUCACUCGGACCGAAACCACGACUUGAAUUUGAAUCAGUAGAGCAGCAUAUACAAUUCAGAACCCCAUACUUGGACUUGGUAUGGUACUGAAACUGGAACUGAUGAUUGCUCUGGCUUUUACCACUAGGGAAAGAGAAUGUUCGACUAUAAAUACUGCAAGACUUAGGAGCAAACAACACUUGCGGCUGCUGAACAACAGUAAAGUG
This 1545-nucleotide unclassified non-coding RNA is filed under the name Hevea brasiliensis (rubber tree). The record is from RNAcentral. Lineage: Eukaryota; Viridiplantae; Streptophyta; Magnoliopsida; Malpighiales; Euphorbiaceae.